GAUUGCUGUGGGUUGGCAGGGUAAGCAGGCAUAUAUGGUGGUGGAUAUGCAUAACCAUAAGGCGGCUGUUGCUGAUGCCAUUGUCCUUGCUGUUGUGCAGGUGGAUACUGCCCAGGUGGAUAUUGCCCAGGUGGAUAUUGCCCAGGUGGAUAUUGCCCAGGUGGAUACUGCCCAGGUGGAUACUGCCCAGGUGGAAGUAGCGGUUGUUGUACAGGUGGAAGUUGCCCAGGUGGAAGCCCCAGUGGUUGUCUUACUGUUGGAGGCACUGCCUGGUCAAACCGUGACAUCUCUUGCACUGCAGGAACCAUCAUUACACCAGGAGCGCCCCA
Molecule: long non-coding RNA, 329 nt
Filed under: Gossypium barbadense (sea-island cotton)
Lineage: Eukaryota; Viridiplantae; Streptophyta; Magnoliopsida; Malvales; Malvaceae
Description: long non-coding RNA (GBAR_LNC017890)
Source: RNAcentral